This 363-nucleotide ribosomal RNA is filed under the name Podarcis siculus (Italian wall lizard). RNAcentral describes it as "partial 12S ribosomal RNA". It matches the Rfam family "Bacterial small subunit ribosomal RNA", at positions 866 to 1395 of the family's 1533-position model. Lineage: Eukaryota; Metazoa; Chordata; Lepidosauria; Squamata; Lacertidae. The record is from RNAcentral.
UUUCCGCCAGAGAACUACGAGUGAAAAACUUAAAACUCAAAGGACUUGACGGUGUCCCAUAUCGGCCUAGAGGAGCCUGUCCUAUAAUCGAUACCCCCCGUUCCACCCAACCCCAACUAGCAAAACAUCAGCCUAUAUACCGCCGUCGACAGUUUACCCUAUGAAGGUCCAAUAGUAGACACAACAGCCCUAACGCUAAUACGUCAGGUCAAGGUGUAGCAAAUGCUGGGGAAGAGAUUGGCUACAUUUUUUAUGAUAAAAAACACGAAUUGCACCAUGAAAAAGUGCAUGAAGGUGAAUUUAGUAGUAAAACAGAUAAGAGUGUCUGUUUUAACAACGCUCUGGGACGCGUACACACCGCCC